CACAUUGCGCCCUCUGGUAUUCCAGGGGGCAUGCCUGUUUGAGCGUCAUUUCUCUCUCAAACCUUUGGGUUUGGUAGUGAGUGAUACUCGUUUUUCGGGUUAACUUGAAAGUGGCUAGCCGUUGCCUUCUGCGUGAGCAGGGCUGCGUGUCAAGUCUAUGGACUCGACUCUUGCACAUCUACGUCUUAGGUUUGCGCCAAUUCGUGGUAAGCUAGGGUCAAUGAGCUUAUAGGUGUUAUAAAGACUCGCUGGUGUUUGUCUCCUUGAGGCAUACGGCUUAAUCAAAACUCUCAAAGUUUGACCUCAAAUCAGGAG
RNAcentral lists this ribosomal RNA (315 nucleotides) under Kluyveromyces lactis. RNAcentral's name for it is "eukaryotic LSU rRNA". Lineage: Eukaryota; Fungi; Ascomycota; Saccharomycetes; Saccharomycetales; Saccharomycetaceae. The record is from RNAcentral.